AUUGAACGCUGGCGGCAUGCCUUACACAUGCAAGUCGAACGGCAGCACGGGUGCUUGCACCUGGUGGCGAGUGGCGAACGGGUGAGUAAUGCAUCGGAACGUGCCCGAUUGUGGGGGAUAACGCACCGAAAGGUGUGCUAAUACCGCAUAAUCUCUGAGGAGGAAAGCAGGGGAUCUUAGGACCUUGCGCAGUUGGAGCGGCCGAUGUCGGAUUAGCUAGUUGGUGAGGUAACGGCUUACCAAGGCGACGAUCCGUAGCUGGUCUGAGAGGAUGAUCAGCCACACUGGGACUGAGACACGGCCCAGACUCCUACGGGAGGCAGCAGUGGGGAAUAUUGGACAAUGGGGGAAACCCUGAUCCAGCCAUGCCGCGUGUGUGAAGAAGGUCUUAGGAUUGUAAAGCACUUUAAGUCAGGAGGAAGGGGUGUGUGUUAAUAGCACAUACUUUUGACGUUACUGACAGAAUAAGCACCGGCUAACUUCGUGCCAGCCGCCGCCGUAAAAC
Molecule: ribosomal RNA, 505 nt
Filed under: uncultured bacterium
Lineage: Bacteria
Description: bacterial SSU rRNA
Rfam family: Bacterial small subunit ribosomal RNA
Source: RNAcentral